Molecule: non-coding RNA, 83 nt
Organism: Mycena maculata
Lineage: Eukaryota; Fungi; Basidiomycota; Agaricomycetes; Agaricales; Mycenaceae
Source: the annotation of a GenBank genome assembly
GACAAUAUAUUUCAGUGGUAGAACACCGCUACUGGCCAAAAAGCGCAGGGCGGAGGUCGGCUGUUCGAUCCCGCUUGGUGACA